Non-coding RNA from Myotis brandtii (Brandt's bat), 81 nucleotides. The record is from Rfam. NCBI's taxonomy places the organism in Eukaryota, Metazoa, Chordata, Mammalia, Chiroptera, Vespertilionidae.
AGGCCCAGAGAGAGGAGCAGGGUCUGAUCCGCAGCCUCCGUGGCAGCUGUUGAUCAGCUGUUGCCUCUCUCUUUCUCUCUG